This is a long non-coding RNA of Onthophagus taurus, 2009 nucleotides long. RefSeq lists it as uncharacterized. The record is from RefSeq and is a predicted model, not a curated record. NCBI's taxonomy places the organism in Eukaryota, Metazoa, Arthropoda, Insecta, Coleoptera, Scarabaeidae.
ACACCUUUUUUAUUGAAAGAUAAUUAUAAAAUCGAAGUAGAAAUAUUUCAAUUAAAAAUCAAGGAUUUUGAUGCCAAAUUGCUCCUCCACGAAGUAAUGAAGGUCGAUGGUAUCUCACACGAUUAAACUUUUCCCAUGGACCAUCUAGUUUGUAAGAAGCGUGUAACAUUUAAAAAAUCAUUGAAUACAUUAUUCCUUAAAACAUAAAUGCUUUUGAAUGGUACGAGGCGAAAUUCAAUGCAUAUUACUUCAUUUAGGUUUUCUAAGUUGUUAGGAGAAUGUUUAUCAACCUAAGUUUUGAGAAAAAAAAAUUAGCUGCUCAACCACACAUUCUCUAAAUUACAUUACUGAUGUAAUACAUGACUUGCAAUAUGCCAUUAAUAGCAUUAAAAUACUCAAAUUACUUAAAUUUAUGAAUGUGAAAAGUGGUAGAAGUAUACAGCUACUACAAGGAGCCAAUGCUCUCAGAGUACACCAAGAUCCAAAGAUUGCAAUAGGCAGGACAUUUGGACAAGGUGAAGGAGGGAAGAAUACCGAAGCAACUGCUUCACAGGAUAUACUUGGGUUCAGAAAUGAAUGAGGGAGGCUAAGGAUCGAUAGAGUUAUUGAAGGUAGAGAGAGAAGAUAUCUAAAAUUCUUGUUGUUCAGUGUUUCAAAUGCCAAAACCAAUAAUUCUUGGUAUAUCAAGAGUCAGAAGACCCCAAAAACUCCUAUUUUGGAUAAAUCAAAUUUUGAAAAGUGUCAAAAACUCUUAUUAUUGAUACAUGAAGUUUCAAAGGAUGCAAUAACUCUCGGUUUUGACAUGUCAAAAGUUCAGGGAUGUCUAAAAUUCUCCUUCUCAGUAUAUGAAAUGUCAAAAACACAACUUCGUGAUAUUUUAUUGAUACAAAGUGCUAGUAACACCUGAGUAUGAUUUGUUAUUUCUCAAAAAUAAUAGUUAUUGGUUAUUCAACUGUUAGUAGACUUCGGAAGUUCUUGUUCCUGAUGCAUCAAGUGUCGAAGAAUGUCAAAAACUUUUAUUAUUGAUAUGUGAAGUGUUAAAUAAUGCAAUAACUCCCGUUUUUGAUAUGUCAAGCUUUGAGAGACGUCUAAAAUUCUUGUUCUCAGUCAUAUCAAGUGUCAGAAGACCUCAAAAGCUCUUGUUCCGGAUAAAUAAAAUUUUGCAGAAUGUCAACAACUCUUAUUACCGGUAUGGAAAAUAUCAAAGGUUGCAAUAACUCUCAUUCUUGAUGUGUCAAUCGUCGAGGAAUGUCUAAACUACUUAUUCUCAAUAUAUCAAAUGUCAAAAACAGUAAUUCUUGAUGUAUCAAGUAUCAGAAUACAUCAAAAGCUGUUGUUUUGGAUAUAUCAGGUGUUGAAGAACGUCAACGCAACCACAAUGUGACGUAACUCCAAACCUUUGAGAAUUUAACGCAACCCUAAAAAGGAAUCGAGCUAAUUGCAAAGCAAAAUAACCUAACCUCAAAGAAAAGCAAACGAAUUCAACUCUAAACCAAUACAAACUAACUCCAAAACAAGUGAAUCUAACUCAAAAACAACUGAAUCCAACUCCAAACCAACUUCAAAUGAUCCGAAACGCAAAGUAAUACUCCGGAUCUUAUUACAAAAAUCUUUUGUUGAUGCAUUUGCAACCUUUAUACCAUCACGCCUUUUCUAUACAUAAACAAUUCAAUCUGGCACACGGUGAUGAAGUUCUUGAUUAAAAUUAGAGAAACAUCGAUGGAAUUUUCGAUGAAUAUUCAAUCUUCCGGUUCAGUCAAGCAAGUCGACGUUAAAGCUGCAUUAUGAAUAAUUCAAAAUUCCCCUAUAAUAGCAUAAACAGACCGCUCGGACACUCGAACAAUACCUAGAAUUCUGCGAUAUUGAGCUCUCGAGUUAUAAAGGAGUUAAAUGUACAUCCGUUGAAUACUAAAUAAAUAUUUAAAUUGUGUGUUAUGAACGAGAUCUAUUUGCAUACGCUUCAACUGUACAUUUCUUUGUUAUUUAACAAUAAUAUCAUAAAAAAUCAA